Molecule: long non-coding RNA, 911 nt
Organism: Apis mellifera (honey bee)
Lineage: Eukaryota; Metazoa; Arthropoda; Insecta; Hymenoptera; Apidae
Exons: 3
Source: RefSeq, a predicted model, not a curated record
AUCCGUGCCGUAAACUCGAACAUCCAACUCGCCUCGAACAAAAGCACGAGUGAGAGAGAGAGAGAGAGAGAGAAAAAAUUCCCCAGUCCGUUGGAAAAGUUUCGAGAAUACGCCCUCUGUCGGCCGUUGAAGGAAGCUAAAGCAAUCGAGGUGUCUCUAAACAAACUUGAGAAGACGUCGUCGUUUCCAACUCUAUUUUAAGCUGAGAAUGCACAAGCCGAGGGAAGGGGGAGUUGUGCCAAUAUUUGCCACGGACUGAAAUGACAUAUCGUUGUUGUCGGAACGCCCCAUUAAACAUUGCAUCCACCCCCACAGACUUUCACGGACUGUCGCGCGGCCGCGUUGCAUUGUAACGCAAAUAAUGUUAAACCCGGUAUCAUAGAAAUCAUCGUUGAAAUGGCCGUCCGUUUAUUUCAACCAGGGAGGAUCGUGUUGGAACAUUGUAAUCAGCGAUUUGAAGAAGGAAAAGAGUGAUGAAUAUUUCGUGGAGCGGUUUGGAAACGAGCGACGACGCACCGUGUGCGUCCGUGUGAUUUCUAUGCAUUUGUCAAUCUUGUAAUUCGAAACGUAGAAACUCUUGGGCACGGGAGGAAAUCAAUUUCACAUGACAAAUUGUUAAUGCAUUUUAAUCGUGUUUUCGUGAUUCAAUGAAGAAUCCCACAAUAUAUUGCGUCGCGUUAAUGCACCGGUUGUUACAAUAUUACCGCGACGAUCAAAUUUUAGAUCACAAUGCUCGAACUAAUGCAUCGCUGAAAGCCUUUCGAUGAGGAAUAACGAAUCCAACGCGCAGAAAUUGUUACUUCACACUGAUGAAUCCUACCGCUGUUCAUUUUCUGCAAUAGCUUAAGGAAGACUUGAUCGAUAGCAAAGAAAUGCAAAUUUAGUAUCGAGAUUAAAAAUUUUUGUAAAAA